RNAcentral lists this ribosomal RNA (250 nucleotides) under uncultured bacterium. RNAcentral describes it as "partial 16S ribosomal RNA". It matches the Rfam family "Bacterial small subunit ribosomal RNA", at positions 524 to 773 of the family's 1533-position model. The record is from RNAcentral.
UACGUAGGUGGCAAGCGUUGUCCGGAUUUACUGGGUGUAAAGGGCGCGUAGGCGGGAUUGCAAGUCAGAUGUGAAAUGCCAGGGCUUAACCCUGGAACUGCAUUUGAAACUGUAGUUCUUGAGUAUCGGAGAGGCAGGCGGAAUUCCAAGUGUAGCGGUGAAAUGCGUAGAUAUUUGGAGGAACACCAGUGGCGAAGGCGGCCUGCUGGACGACAACUGACGCUGAGGCGCGAAAGCGUGGGGAGCAAAC